RNAcentral lists this ribosomal RNA (1354 nucleotides) under uncultured marine eukaryote. RNAcentral describes it as "SSU rRNA". It matches the Rfam family "Eukaryotic small subunit ribosomal RNA", at positions 411 to 1777 of the family's 1831-position model. The record is from RNAcentral.
CACUUCUAAGGAAGGCAGCAGGCGCGCAAAUUACCCAAUCCUGACUCAGGGAGGUAGUGACAAGAAAUAACAAUAAACCGGCUUAUGCCGGUUUAAUUGGAAUGAGUACAAUUUAAACAUCUUAACGAGGAACAAUUGGAGGGCAAGUCUGGUGCCAGCAGCCGCGGUAAUUCCAGCUCCAAUAGCGUAUACUAAAGUUGUUGCAGUUAAAAAGCUCGUAGUUGGAUUUCUGUGGGGACGGAGCGGCCGGCCGCAACACGCGGUUCGAGCUAGCGCUUUCCCUACAUCCUGCCGCGAACCGUGCUACCAUUAAUUUGGUGGCGCCGGGGAUCGGCUCGAUUACUUUGAGAAAAAUAGAGUGUUCAAAGCAGGCCACAUGCCUUGAAUAAGUUAGCAUGGAAUAAUAACUAAGGACUUCGGUUCUAUUUUGUUGGUGUUCGGGACUGAAGUAAUGAUUGAUAGGGACAGUUGGGGCGGUCUGUAUUCCAAAGCGAGAGGUGAAAUUCUUAGACCUUCGGAAGACAAACAGCUGCGAAAGCGUUCCGCAAGGAUGUUCCCUUUGAUCAAGAACGAAAGUUGGGGGAUCGAAGACGAUCAGAUACCGUCGUAGUCUCAACUAUAAACUAUACCAGCUAGGGAUCGGCCAACGUUAUUUUAUACCGACUUGGUCGGCACCUUAUGAGAAAUCAAAGCAUCUGGGUUCCGGGGGGAGUAUGGUCGCAAGGCUGAAACUUAAAGGAAUUGACGGAAGGGCACCACCAGCCGUGGAGCCUGUGGCUUAAUUUGACUCAACACGGGAAAACUUACCAGGUCCAGACAUAGUAAGGAUUGACAGAUUGAUAGCUCUUUCUUGAUUCUGUGGGUGGUGGUGCAUGGCCGUUCUUAGUUGGUGGAGUGAUUUGUCUGGUUAAUUCCGUUAACGAACGAGACCCCAGCCUGCUAAAUAGCGCGCGUGAGCUUUGCUCGCGGCGAGCUUCUUAGAGGGACUAUGAUGCGCGAUAGCACAUGGAAGUUUGGGGCAAUAACAGGUCUGUGAUGCCCUUAGAUGUUCUGGGCCGCACACGGGCUACACUGGCGCCUGCAACGAGCAUAUCAGCUGGCCCGAGAGGGUCUUGGCUAAUCUUUUGAACCGGCGCCGUGCUUGGGAUUGACCUUUGCAAUUGUUGGUCAUGCAACGAGGAAUGCCUCGUAAACGCGAGUCAUCAGCUCGCAUUGAAUACGUCCCUGCCCUUUGUACACACCGCCCGUCGCUCCUACCGAUGAAUGUUCCGAUGAAAUUUUCGGAGAGCACCUGUGAACUUGGCUCUGCCUUGCGAACGGGAGGCUCAAAGUCACUUAAAUCUGAACAUUUCGA